Molecule: ribosomal RNA, 229 nt
Filed under: uncultured bacterium
Lineage: Bacteria
Description: partial 16S ribosomal RNA
Rfam family: Bacterial small subunit ribosomal RNA
Source: RNAcentral
CGUGUAGGCGGUUUGGUAUGUCCGGCGUGAAAGCCCUCGGCUUAACCGAGGAAUGGCACCGGAAACUACCUAACUAGAGUGCGAGAGGGGGUGGCGGAAUUCCUAGUGUAGAGGUGAAAUUCGUAGAUACUAGGAGGAACACCCGAGGCGAAGGCGGCCACCUGGCUCGCUACUAACGCUGAGACGCGAAAGCGUGGGGAGCAAACAGGAUUAGAUACCCUGGUAGUCC